GCCACUGCUAUUGGGAUCCGACUAAGCCAUGCGAGUCGAGAGGGUUCGGCCCUCGGCAGACUGCUCAGUAACACGUGGAUAACCUACCCUCAGGCGGAGAAUAACCUCGGGAAACUGAGAAUAAUACUCCAUAGAUCUAGGAUGCUGGAAUGCACCUAGAUUGAAAGCUCUGGCGCCUAAGGAUGGGUCUGCGGACUAUCAGGUUGUAGUCAGGGUAAAGACCUGACUAGCCUACGACGGAUAUGGGUUGUGAGAGCAAUAGCCCAGAGACGAUAUCUGAGACACGAUAUCGGGCCCUACGGGGCGCAGCAGGCGCGAAAUCUUCACAAUGUGCGAAAGCACGAUGAGGGGAUCCCAAGUGCUGGCACGUAAGUGUCAGCUGUUUCUUUGUCUAAAAAACAAAGAGAGUAAGAGCUGGGUAAGACGGGUGCCAGCCGCCGCGGUAAUACCUGCAGCUCAAGUGGCGGCCGCUAUUAUUGGGCCUAAAACGUCCGUAGCCGGUUUAGUAAAUGCUUGGGUAAAUUGUGUAGCUUAACUAUACGAAUACCGGGUAGACUGCUAAACUUGGGACCGGGAGAGGCUAGAGGUACUCCUAGGGUAGAGGUGAAAUUCUGUAAUCCUAGGGGGACCACCAGUGGCGAAGGCGUCUAGCUAGAACGGGUCUGACGGUGAGGGACGAAGCCCUGGGGCGCAAACCGGAUUAGAUACCCGGGUAGUCCAGGGUGUAAACGCUGCUUGCUUGAUGUUAGUUGGGCUCCCA
RNAcentral lists this ribosomal RNA (760 nucleotides) under uncultured archaeon. RNAcentral's name for it is "bacterial SSU rRNA". It matches the Rfam family "Archaeal small subunit ribosomal RNA", at positions 23 to 788 of the family's 1478-position model. The record is from RNAcentral.